RNAcentral lists this ribosomal RNA (497 nucleotides) under uncultured bacterium. RNAcentral's name for it is "partial 16S ribosomal RNA". It matches the Rfam family "Bacterial small subunit ribosomal RNA", at positions 28 to 507 of the family's 1533-position model. The record is from RNAcentral.
GAUGAACGCUGGCGGCGUGCCUAAUACAUGCAAGUCGAGCGAACGGACGAGAAGCUUGCUUCUCUGAUGUUAGCGGCGGACGGGUGAGUAACACGUGGAUAACCUACCUAUAAGACUGGGAUAACUUCGGGAAACCGGAGCUAAUACCGGAUAAUAUUUUGAACCGCAUGGUUCAAAAGUGAAAGACGGUCUUGCUGCCACUUAUAGAUGGAUCCGCGCUGCAUUAGCUAGUUGGUAAGGUAACGGCUUACCAAGGCAACGAUGCAUAGCCGACCUGAGAGGGUGAUCGGCCACACUGGAACUGAGACACGGUCCAGACUCCUACGGGAGGCAGCAGUAGGGAAUCGUCCGCAAUGGGCGAAAGCCUGACGGAGCAACGCCGCGUGAGUGAUGAAGGUCUUCGGAUCGUAAAACUCUGUUAUUAGGGAAGAACAUAUGUGUAAGUAACUGUGCACAUCUUGACGGUAACUAAUCAGAAAGCCACGGCUAACUACGUG